This 24458-nucleotide long non-coding RNA is filed under the name Manihot esculenta (cassava). RNAcentral's name for it is "long non-coding RNA (MESC_LNC006397)". Lineage: Eukaryota; Viridiplantae; Streptophyta; Magnoliopsida; Malpighiales; Euphorbiaceae. The record is from RNAcentral.
GAAUCUAUUAAACUUUAACAAUUUAAUAUAAAAUUUGUGUUUUUAGCUUUGAUAUAAGAAUUGAUUUUUAAAAAAAAUGGAUAGAGAAAAUCACAAUUGGAUGUAUUAAGAUAAAAUAAUGAAACUUUCUCUCUAGCAACAUCUAAAAAAAGACAAAAACAUAUGCUAUAUGUUAAAUAUAAAUUUACACGCAACAUGUAUUUAUAUCCAUUAAUAAAUAAUUUUUAAUCAAUAUUUUGCAGGCAAACUCUUUAAUUGAAAAAGCUUUGAAAGGUGAAUAUGGGGAUUUUGUAGAUUCCAGGUUACAAUCCUUUGACCAACCCUUUGAUUACGAAGAAAUGCAUCGAAUUAUUUUUUGUGUUAAUGCUUGCAUAAAUCUACCUCUAGAAUCCCGUCCAUCAAUGAAAAGGGUAAAUUCUGUUCACAUAAUUUAAUUUUGAUAUAUAUAUAUAUAUAUAAAAUACAUGUUAUUUGCAAAAAAAUUUAUGGAAGCAUUUAGAGAUUACACAGUUGACUUGUAAAUCUUUUUAUCAUUGCUAUGCCAUGUAGGUAGCUCUAGCUCUUGAAGGAAUUCUGCCUCUGAAGAAUGACAACAAAUUGUACUCCGGAGUUUCAUAUAAAGGUCUGUUUUCUUAUAAAAAAUGGAAUAACUUUUGCAAAGUAUUAUUAUUUUUUUAGAAGACUUACUAUUUAGUAAAAUUUAUUAGUUAGUAUCUUAAUUUUAAAAAAUAUAUUAAAACUUUCAUGAGACAUUAAAAAGUCUACUAAUUAAUUUUAUCGUUAAUUUUAGUCAUUAAAUAUGAAAAAAAAAUCUAAAAUUAGAGACUAAUUAACUUAAUAUAUAUAAAAUUAAGAUAUCAAUUAAUAAAUUUUAUUGAUAUUAUAGAGACUAAAUAAUAAAAACACUUAAUAUUUAAAGUUAACAAAUGACUAAUUAGUAGAUUUUUUAAUAUUUUAAAAAUAUUUUAAUGAGUUUAAUGAAUUUCAUUAUUAUAUUUGAGGGACUAAAUAAUUAUUUUUUCUUCUCUUUAUAUAUAAAUUUAACUUAAUGAUAAAGUGAGAUCAUUUUAAUGUUAAAAAAACCCCUAAUAUUAGAACAAAAUUUGAUUUUUAUUUAAAUCUGAUUGGCAUAUAAUUCCUUUAUUUAAAAGGAGAUGGAAUGAUAUGAACUUAAUUCAUCUUUUUUUUGAAAAAAAAAAAAAAAAAGUAUCCACCUCUGUUCAUGUAUUUAUAAUUUCUCCCUGUUGAGUUGCACUAAUUUACCCUUCUUUUUCCGGAAGCAGAUAAGCCUAAGCCAAGCCCCAAGCCUUCGUUCAUUCCAGAAACUAAUAGAUCAUCAAAUCAAGUUUACAAACCAAGGAGAUUUACUUAUAAACAACUAAUAAAUAUAACUUAAUGAUAAAGUUGGAUCAUCUUAAUGUUAAAAAAAUCCUAAUAUUGGAAUAAUUUUUAAUUUAUUUAAAUGACAUAUAAUCCUUUAUUUAAAAGGAGGAAGGGAUUUAAUUAAUUCACCUUUUUGUAAAAAAAAUAUAUCCACCUCUGUUCAUGUACUUGAUCCUUUUUUUUUUUUUUCCUGAAGCAGAUGAGGUUAAGCCAAGCCUCAAGCCUCCUAUCAAUCAAGAAACUAAUAAGCCAAGCUCCAAGCCUCCUGUCAUUCAAGAAACUAAUCAAAUCGUUGUACGGAAUGGUCGAAGCACCAGUCGACAACCAACAGAAGCAACUAGUAAUGGUUCCUCCAACAACAUUGGAGAAACUUCAUUUGAAGAGAAGACUCAAGUUUACAAACCGAGGAGAUUUACUUAUUUUGAACUAACAUCUGCGACUCGAGGUUUCGCUAAAAACAACCUUCUUAACGGGGGUCCUUUGGGUAAAGUUUAUAAGAGUAUCCUAAAUUAUGAUGAAACGGUGAUAGUGAAGAAACUCUAUAUAUACAUGUGUGAAGGGAAAGAAGAUGAAUUCAAGAAGAUUAAAGACAUCAGCACUAGUGUCCAUGAUAAAAAUGUUGUUAACCUGAUUGGAUACUGUGAUGAAGGAGACAAAAGGUUGCUCGUUUACGAGUAUUUUCCAGCCAAGUCCUCCUUGAGAUCUCAUUUAGAUGGUAAGCCCUUUAUCUUAAGCAACUCAUCAAUAAAUGUGUGUGUUACUAUAGGAUUUAUGGCUUUAUAAAGAUAAUGUUUAUUAAAUUUUGGAUCAGACCUAACUCAUUCCAAAAAUUAGUUCACUGAGAAGAGUGUCCAAAACCCAUAUAAGUGGCACAUUAUCCCUAUAUCUCAAAUCAUUAUCAGAUUCAACACAAUCUCCAUGUACAGGACUAAAUUGGGGAGUGAAAUAUUUAUGUAAGACUCAAUAUUGAAUGAGAAGACUAUAAACCAUGUUAAGUUUUGGGUAAGUCUAAUUCACCCCAAAAUCUAAUUCUGAAAAUCCUUAUAAGCGGCAUAUUACCUCUAUCCCAAACCAAUGUAGGAUUCAACAAUGUUAAAUGAAAAAUUCUUAUUUGAACCUGGACCUAGAACAUAGAAAAUUGGAUUUCAUUUAAUUUUUUUAUGGAGUAAUCCACUUACAUGUAUUUUUAGUCCAUAAUGAAUCGAGUCCGAAUACCGGCUUUACAUGUUAAAUGGAUACCUCCAACAGUCCUUAAAACAAAAAAAGUUGCAAACGUCAACGGCCAUUACUUCAUUCAAUGGCCCAUUUAAUAGCCAUAUCGAAAGAAGGGAUGAAGGCCAUCAGUUCCAAGUGUGAUGUGAAAAAAUUUCCCUUGAACCCGAGGUCACAGUGAGGUGAGCUGUUGGGAGCUAUGGGUAUUUUUUCCUCCAGAUUUAGAGUAGUUGCUUCAGUGGGAUGACUUAAACAUUGAGUAUGCGAGAGUAAGAUUUAUUAUUAGAAUACUUUAUUUAUGAGAUUUAGAGUGUUAUUUGAUUUAGUGAAAUGACUUAAAUACUGAUUAUAUGUGAGAGUAGUAUUUACUUUGGGGCAUUUUUUCUAAGGGAUUUAGAAGGUUGUUUAUUGCAUUAGGGUGACUUAAAUAGUGGGUAUGUGGGAGUGGUAUUUUCUAUCUGAGAUUGAAAAGAGUGUUCCUUUAGUGAAAGUUGCUUAAACACUUAGUGGUAAUAACAUGAGUCUUCAUAUUUAUAUGAGAGGAAUAUACAAAUAUUAUGGAAAAUAUUAUAGGAAUUACUCAAAUAAUUAUUAUAAUAUUUGUACAUAAUAUUAUUCGCAUAUAGUGAAAAAGUAUUUUAUUGCUAUCUAUAAACGUAGGCUGGCAUUCAGCUAGUCGAACCAAAUUAAAAUUUUGUAUUUUUUAUUUUUUUUACGAUUUCUAGAAAUAAUCCCUAAUUUUUUCCGAACGGAUAAUAUGGCAGGGAAUGGCAGUUUGGAUUGGCCAACCAGAAUGGAGAUCGCUAUACGCAUCGGAAGAGGAUUGGUAAAUCUGCAUGACUUAUGUGAGUCUUCGCUUGUAUGCUUAGGCCUUGGCUAUAUCAAAGCUUGAUUUUUCCAGAUUUUCUCCCUUAAUAUUUGUGAUCUCUAUAUUUCUCAGACAAGCCCUGGAAUAUAUACGAGCAUUAUAAGGAUAAUAGCAUCUUUCUUGAUGAAAAUUUUCAACCAAAGGUGAUUAUAUAUAUGGCAGAUUUAAACAUUUUCGAAUGAUCAAUUAGUAUUAUGUAAAAAAUUUCUUAAGCUUAUUAUUCAAUAUGCAACUAUACUUAACUGUAAAUAUAUGGUGCAAUAAAUUUACUUUGAUUAUCAUUUUAAUCAGUUUGCAGAGUAUAAACGUGACAAAUUUUUCUCAAAAGAUUCUGGAAAUUCUAUUCCUAGAAGGUAAAGAUGAAACUUUUGUUUAUGUUUUCUCUUCGUCAUAUUGUUUGCUCAAGCUUAUAGAUACAUGAUCAAUUCUCCAACUGCAGUUCUAUGUCUUCAAGAUAUGUAAAGCUAGAUGUUUAUUUCUUUGGUGUAAUUCUUUUGGAGAUGAUUACUGGGAAAUUACCUGAUCUUCGUUCCUAUGAUUCCUUCAACUUAAUUGAAUGGGUACGUAUUAAUUUUUUUGUUUUAAUACAAAUGAAAAGAGCUUCUUGAUUUGAGUAUGUAAGGGUUUAUUUAUUUAUUAUUCUUAACGUUCAGGCUGUUCCUACAAUUCAAAAUGAUUGGCCCCAAGGCAACUAUAAGUUUGUUGAUGAAAAAUUGGGGAGAAACUUUGACGAGGAUGAAAUGGAUAGAAUGAUAGAAUGUACUUUAGCAUGUGUAGAGCGUUAUCCACAAAAUCGACCAGAAAUGAGCAAGGUAAUUUCAUAAAGCUUUACAUUCUAUUUUAUAUUAUGCAUAUAUACAUGUGAGUUCGUUUUUUAAACGAUUCAAUCGAUAUAUUUUAGUAUUUAGAUAAUAAUAUUUUUAUUACGAUCGUAAAAUUAUUAUCUUAAUGGCUAAGAUAAUAAUUUAAAAUUAUUAUAAAAAAAUUCAUUCGAUAAAAUUAUAAUUUUAAUUAAAAAAAUAAUUAAAUUAUUACUUUAUUUUUAACAACAAUGUAAAUAUAAUAGUUGUUAAACUGUUAUUAUUAAUUUAUAAUUAUUUUUAAAUAUAUAAAACAAUAAUUUAUAAUUAUUGUAUUAAAUUUAUUUUUCUAAUAGUAAUUAUAAUAAACUAAUAACAUUCAUGUGUUGGAAUCAUACUCUAAUUUUGGGAAGAAAAAAAAACUCAAUUGCUAAAAGUUAAAUUUUGUAAGAAUUAUUGAUGAAGUUAUUUUAUUCCAUUUAUUAGCAGAUCAGUACUCUUUUGUUUCCCUUUUUCUAAUUACUUUUCUCGGUAAAGCAGGUUGUUGAAGUUCUAGCAGGAAACAUUCCUCGGAAAAAUCUCAAGAAUUGAGAUGAAAUGUUUGAAAAAGAAAAUUAUUUUUUUCCUUUUCAAUAGAAGUUGGAAACUUCCUUGAAAGGCCGAUUGGACAUUGAAAUAAAAGAUAGACCUCAGUUGAAAUGGCAAAGGAGUGUAACUGGAAGACUUUCUGAAUUUUGCUUGUAUUGAUGUGUCUUGGAGACUAUUGCAAUUUAAAAAAAAAAAAAAAAGUUCCGUUUGAAAUAAAUCGAAUGUAAAAAAGUGAUUUAGCUUAGAGUAAUUUUUUUAAUUAACUCUUUUUAGUUAAUAAAAUUAAAAUUUUAGUUAUUAUGUUUCUAAAUAUACAAAUUAAAUUAAAUUCUUCUAAAUUUUUAGUUUUCAAACAGGAAAAUAAAAGGUUUUGGAAGGUUUGAAUCCAAAUAAGAACCUUGAGAGAAUUAUAUCACCACCGCCAAAUUGCUGGACUAUCUACAGUAGCAUUUCUUUUUCAAAACAAUUGAAAAUGAGGUUACUUCUUAUUAUUAAUUUAAUUCCAAUAACUUAUCAUAUUUGUCGUUAUUAUCCAUAUUAAACAAUGACCAAGAUUUUAAAAUGACUCUCUCUAAUUUAAUUCUAAUAUUAAAAAUGACCAAAUUUAUUAUCUAUAUUAAACAAUGACCCUAAGAUCAAACUAACAACUUUGUAGUUUCUUCAUUUAUUAAUAUGCAAGUGGGACAUAAAAAAAUCAUUAGUUAAUUAAUUUAGUACGUCCUAUUUUAUAAUACACUGACCAAUCUGAAAGCUGAUUGGCCCCCACAAAUGGAUUAAUUAAUAAUUCAACCUUCUUAAUUAAUGCCGCCUUCACUGACAGCCUGGGUACUGUUCAGAAACUAACAAUAUAGUAAUCUUAGAUUGCACCGACUCUGCAUAAUUUGUAUUUUUUUAAUACUCCCUACUUUGAAACUUUAAUUUUCGCUAUCAGUCCUCAUUCAAUCUAUUCGAUUUUAAAAAUUAAAUCCAUCGAAAAUUAAAAUUUAAAUAUUUUUAAAAAUUUUAUUUUAAAAAAAAAAUAUAUUUUUCAAAGUUAAAUUAAAUUAAUUUUAAUUAAAAAUUAAAUUAAAUUGAAUUCAUUUAAUUUAAUUUUAUUCAAUUCAAUUUCAUCAGUUAAAUUUUUAAUAAUUUUUAUUUUUUAUAUUUUAAAAUUUAAUUAAAUUAUUUUUAUUUUAAUAUAAUUUAAUAUAUUUAUAUUAUUAAAAAUAAUAUAUUAUUAUCCUUAAUCGGUUCAGUUUAAUUUUUUUUUAUUUUUUUUAUUAAAAUUAAACUGAAUUGAAAUAAUUAAAAUUUUUAAAAUUAAAAAUUAAAUCAAAUCAAAAUAAAUAAAAAAUUAAAUUAAUUAAUUUUUUCCAUUUAAGCUGCAUGCGAAUCACUAUCAUCUUUGCCAUGCUGUCAAAAUUAGAUAACAUAUGUUUUUAUUAAAAAAAUAUUAUGCCCAUGUAAAACAUAUAGGUUAAAUAUAUAUUUAUAUAUUUAUAUUUUAAUAUUAUAUACAAAACGAUACAAGAAUAUAUAUAUAUAUAUAUGACUGACUCUCUCUCUCCUUGGCUUUUCAUUUCCUACCUUGACUGACUCUCUCUCUCUCUCUCUCAUCGUAACCUUGUGGGCAGCCAUGGCUGGGUCUUACUUUCGCUGGUUCAAGAAUAACGAAGGAAACGCCAAUGACCAAAACAGAGGAGGUAUAUCUUUGCUUAUACUGUAAGAUAAAUCCAACUCUGUUGGAAUUUCUUACCUUCUAAUAUCUAUAUUAAUAUAUAAAAAUCCAAAUCACUGUAUCAUGAUCAUAUAUGAUUAGAUUUGUUUGUUAUGUUAUAGACCUAUUUUUCUUAUUUGAUUUAUCAAUUUUUGUUUUUCAGAUAUUAAUUAUUGACAAUAAAACUUAUAUUUAAAAAUAAAAAAAGAAAGCCCUUCUCAUUUGAUUCUCUUUUGUUUUCAAUUAUUAAAAACAGAGGAAAAUGCAAUUCCAGAACCAAGCAGAGGAGGUAUGUUACAAGUGAAUUGCUAAACAUCCUAUUUGAAAUUUCGAUUAUGUGUGAAAUUUAUAUUUGCCGUACUACAUCUUUUAGUUUCGUAAGGAAUUAUUGACUUAAAAGUAGACCUAGCUAGAUCUAUGGAACGGAAUAAAUGGAAAAUUGAAAUAUGAGUAUUUUAAUAAUCAAACCGAAUUGAUUUUAAUCAAAAAUUAAAUCAAAUCGAAUCGAUUUGAUUCAAUUUAAUUUAAUGAGUUUUAGUUUUUAAUAAAUUUUUUUAUUUUUUACGCCGUUUUUUAAUAUUUUAAAAUUUAAUUGAAAUAUUUUAAUCUAUAAUCUAAUCUCUUUAUAUUAUUAAAAAUAAUAUAUUAUUACCAUCAAUCAGUUCAGUUUGAUUAUUUUAAUUUUUUUUUUAUCAAAAUCAAACCGAAUUGAAAUAACUAAAAUUUUUAAAAUUAAAAUUCGAAUUGAAAUAAAUAAAAAAUUUAACUUAAUUUUUAAAUUAAUUCAGUUCGGUUAAUUUUUUCGAUUUGAAUUCAAUACUGCUCACUCUUAACCAGAUUUAUUCAAGCCGUGAAUUGAAUUGAAAUGAUCAAUUAAAUUCUAAGGUGACUCCCCCUUAUGAAUGAGAAAAAAUGGGAUUUUUAUAAUGUUUUGAUGUUUAACCUAGGGUUUUAGAGUCAAAAUAAGAGGAAAAUUAUAUUCUUAUAGUGUCUCACGACUAGGCCGUGCCUGAGGAGACUUUGUCUCGGCCCAGUUGAUCAAGUAUAAUUUAGCGACAUUUUUCUUAUUAUUAUUACUAUUUAAAUAUGUAUUUUCUUACCUUAAUUUAUAUUUUUACAAUAUUUUUGCAGAAAAGGAGAAAAAUGGAAACUUGGAGAAAAAUAGCUUGAAAUGCUAGAAAACUGAUUUGGCCGAAGCGAUUUGACCAAAUCAAGCCUCAAAGAAUGCCAAAGGCAGCUACAAGAAGAGGAAGCUAACCUACAAGACUUGAUAUGCCUAUGUUGAUUUGCCCGGAUCGUUGGCCAAAUCACCUUAAGAAAAGUUGAAACUGAAACCCGGAGGAAACACGCAGAAAUGAUUUGGGCGAGGGAUUUGCUCAAAUCACUGUCUAAAUCAACGGUCCUCAGCAAGAAAAUACAGAAGCACGGAAAAGCAAAAAUCCAAAGAUUCAAACGUCUUAGAGUCCUAUCCUACUUCAAAUACACCAAGACCAAUCCUAUGACACCACAUAAACUGCACCAAAAGGAGUCCUACACCAAAUGAGAUCUAUUCAUGCUAGAAUAUAAGAUAAAGAAGAAAUAAAAAAAAGACCAUCAAAGACCAAGUCUAAAUAAGAUUCCAACUCCAAGAAGGAUUAAGACUUCUCACCUAUAAAAAAGGGCAGCAACCAACAGCAAAAAAAUAUCAGAAUUUUGGGCAGAAGCUUCGACAACACCUCUCGCUCUCAUUUUCUUCUUCUUUUUCUCUUUUAUGUGUUCUUUAUCCACCAUGAGUGGCUAAAAACUUUUAUCUCUAGUUGAAGUUGGAGAAAUUUCAGUUUGUUAUGAAUUGGGAGAUUUGAAACUCCAUUGUUAAAACUUUUAUUUUUCAAGAUUUAUGCAACUUGUUCUUCAUGUCUAUUAUUGCCUUGCUAUUAGAAUCAAUAAGGGCCCAUUGCUUUUAAUUAUAGGUAAUAUAUUGUUAGUUUAAAUAAUUUAGGUCUGUAAUUGCUUAGAUUAUUUGAACACAAGUAACAAUUGGUUGCAUGAUCUAACUUAACCACGCGGUUGACAUUAGAAUUAGGUUUCUCUAUUUUUUAAUGCAGUUAACAGUUGAAAAGUGAAAAACUCUAAAGACGUUCCUUGGCAAUUUGUUAACUAGUGUUUGAUUAACGAACAUUUCCUAAUCAAAUUAAAACUAAUGAGGAAUUUGGUUGUGGGAAGCGUCUUCCACAACCUAAACUAAUUUAUUAAUAUAAAUAGAAGUAUCCAAGCGUCAAUGAUCAAUUCUAAACUGAAAUGGAUCAUAUACUUCAAUUAGAGUCUUUUUAUUAUUGAUUUACCCAUCUUUUAAUUAUUGCUCUCUUUACUACUUUAGUAUUAAUCUUAGAUCAUCAUCAUAAAAAACAACCCCCUUUAUUUUAUUUUUGUUAGUUGAUUUGCCCCGGUCAUUGUUAGGAAAGUCUUUAGUGUCAAAUCUCUGUGUUUCGAUCCUAUUGCCACUAUCUACAGUUCUUUUUGGUGAUUAUUAAUAGAUUUAUUUUUUACGAUUUCGACAACCGCUAUCACUAGUGGUGAAAACUACUGUCCAUUUAGGCAAAAAACAUGUCUCACGACAAGGUUGUGAGACAUUUUGACCUCAUUUUUUUUUUCUAUUCAUUGCUCCUCAUGGCCUAUUUGUGAAUUUUGGUUGGCCAUGAGAAGUUUUGACUUUUGAUCUCCAAAAUGUUCAAAAUCUUCAAAAUAAACUCCAAUUCUACUUUAGAAAUAAAAAAAAUUAAUAAAAGUUAGAUAUUUUAAAAUUAAUAUCUACCAAAUAAAAAUUAUAUAAAAAAUAAGUAUAGAAUUGUAUUUAAAUGUGGUAAAAAUAAAUAUAAAAAUUUAUUAUAUUAAUAAGUGAAAUAUUAGUUAACUUAAAAUAUGUAUUUUUUUUAAUUUUAAUUGGAACCUAUCAUCCUAGGUUCUUCAGUUUUUGCAUUCAACUGAAUUUAUUUGCAUCUGGGUAUGGAUCUGAAAUUUGCUGUGGAUAAGAUAUAUAUACACACACACGUAUAAAUAUGGUUAACAAUGGAGAAGGAUAUUGUAGCAAUGGGAGAUUGAACUGGUAGCACAAUUAUUGGCUUUCAUUAAUACAAUUAGAACAUAUAUAGACUGAGAGAAAUCAUCACCUCAUUUAGGAAGUUUAAUUAAUGUUACAGAUUCUCUUUAUCAAUUAUAACAAAACCUGAACGAAUUAAAUAAACCAUUUGUUAUUAUGUAAAUUAAAGAAUGAAUAAUUAAAAAAUCACAAUCAUAUGAAUUAGGUUCACCUUCCAGAUCGUUGACUUUUGAAAAAGGGUUAAAAUACUAAUUAAAUUUGAAGGCCAUGAUUGUUCAUGGAUAGAGUCUUAGCAUAAGUGUAUCCAUUCAUACGUCUAAGUGGAAAUCACGUUAACCUUAUGCCUUAAUAAACAAUACACAACUUGUUAUUUUUGUAAGACUUUUAUAUUUUUAUUUUAUUUUCAUUGUUGGCCACUACACGAAAUUGAUUGGUCAAUUAUUGAGUUAAAGUUAGAAUAAAGAGAAACUCAUUGAGCUAAAGUUACCUACUGUCUUCCUUCAUCCUUCCUACUUACUCUCUAUCUCUGACCAUUCCCAUUCACACUCUAUAAGAACUGUAUUAUAUUUAUACUUGCAACAAACCUCUGGUCGUGGUUGCAUAAGUCUGCAAGUUCCGAUGGCCUCUCGCUUGGGGAUGAACGGGGCAGAUCGCCGGAUGGAAACUAGAGGUAUUACUUGUUUUUAGCUGAAACUGUUGUACCAAAUAGUAAUAGUUCAUGGAGAUUUCAUUUCAUCUAACUCAUUGGGGCAUGUUGUCUAUUGAUUGUCACUGAGCACAGAUCCAAAUGAAUCUGGCUCAUCUCCUGAGAAGAGACCAAGUCAUACAUCUGCAUCUGUCAAUUAUAAUGAUAUUGGGCCAAAGCCAUAUUCAUACAGUGAAUUAGCAAGGGUAACUGGUCAUUUCUCGCUUAAUAACCUAAUUGGUCGAGGUGGUUUUGGUCAUGUUUUUAAGGCAGUCUUAGAUGGUGAGAUUCGUGCUAUCAAGAAACUUGAUUUUCUGGAUGUACAAUCUGAAGGAAGUUUGGAGAGGGAGAUUAUGGUCAUCAAAAGCAUCAGCCACAGAAACCUCGUUGAACUGGUUGGUUACUGUAUUGAUGGAGCCAAUAGAUUGCUCAUCUUAAAGUAUUUUCCAAAUGGAUCCUUGAGAUUUAAAUUACAUGGUGAGUCCCAUAUCCUUUCUUUUACUUUUAUGUUCAUCUAACUAAUCAAUAUGACAUAAUUAAUCUUACAAAUUAUAAAUGGUAUUAUAGGAAGUGAUAAUGUUUUGGACUGGGAGACAAGAAUGAAGAUCGCCAUAGGUUCUGCAAGAGGGUUAGAAUAUUUACAUGAAAAUUGUGAGUAUAUACUACUACAUAUUCUUAUAUGGCAGGAUUUUAGCUUUUGAGUGUAAAUUUAUUUAUUUAUUUUUAUUUAUGUUGAUAAUUUAUUUUCUCUCAAAAUUUUAUAUUCUUUUUUUUAUAUUUUUUUCAGGUAAACCUAAGAUUAUACAUUUAGAUAUUAAACCAGAUAAUAUUCUUCUCGACGAAAAUUUUGAACCUAAGGUGAGUUAAUUUUAUAAUUAAUAAAUAUUUUAUUUAUAUUACUGUUCUCUAACAAAAAAAAUAUCAUUAAAUACCAAAAUUUUAUUUUUAAACAGUAUUGAAAAAUUAUGUGAACUCAUUAAUUAUAUAAUUUGAUUGUUGUAAUUAAUUAAUAAAUUUUGGUUCUAACUUUUUGGUUUGGCCAUAUAUCUUAUAAAAAAAUUAAUAAAUCAAUCUUAGUAGGUUUCUUAUCUUUUUUUUUUCAUGAUUUAAAGUUUUCUUAAUAAACCUUAUUGAAGUAGGGAAAAUAGUGUAAUUUAUCAAAUUAAAAAAGUAAUAAACUUAUUAAUCUUCUCAAAUCAUUUGUUUAGAUAACAGAUUUUGGACUUGCUCAAUUUUUUACGGACGGUGCUACUCACAUAUCCAAAUCGUCAGUUAUGGGAACCCAUGUGUAAGAUAUAAAUUUCUUUUUUAUCAUUUAAUUGCAUCGCUAUUAUUGUUUAACUCUUUCGUUGCCAUUAUUAUCUACUCUUAGACUAGUUUAAAAAUAAAAUAAAAUUUAAAACAGACCAAAAAAAACCCACGAAAAGAAAUUAGGACUUGAAGAUCUUAGUUCGUUAAAGAAAAUUUUAACAUGAUUUUUUUUAGAAAUUUAUAAUUUAGUACCUCAAUAUUGCAAUUAUUAACAAGUCAGUUCUCGUAUUUUCAGAAAUCUAUUAAAAUGUCUUUAUUUCUGCUGUUAAAAAUAUAUCAAAAAACCAAAUUAUCUCCCUUCUUUUCCUCUUCCUUCUUCUUCAUUAAUUCUUCCUCCUCUUCUUCUUCUUUGGUUCUUCUAUUUCUUCUUCUUCGAUUUUUUUUUAUUCUUAUUCUUUAAAGAGGAGGAGACGAUUCUUCUUCUUCUUCUUCUUCUUCAUCAUCAUCAUCUUCUUCUCCUUCUUUUUCUUCUUCUUCUUCUUCUUCUUCUUUUUCUUCUUCUUUUUCUUCUCCUUCAUCAUCAUCUUCUUCUUUUUUUAUUCUUCUUUGAGGAGGAGGAGGAGGAGGAGGGACUAUUUUAUUGACGGAAAGAAACGAUAAAGACGUUUUAAUGGAUAUGAGAAAAGAUAAGAACGUUUUAAUAGAUUUCUAAAAAUAUAGGGACUAACUUGUUAAUAAUAACAAUAUCCAAGAACUAAAUAAGGGGUUUUAUUUGAAAGCAAAAUUGUAUUUUAAAAGUUUUUUCUCUCAUUCUUUAUCUAUUUUUAAUGGAAAAGAGGACGGAAUGACUAUUUCGUUGACGGAAGAACUAUUUCGUUAACAGAGAAAAAAGAUAAAGAAGUUUUAAUAGGUUUCUAAAAAUACAGAGAUUGACUUAUUAAUAAUAACAAUACUCAAAGACUAAAUAAUAAAUCUCUCUUUUUUUUUGGUAAGUACCUUAAUAUGAAAUUUAAUUGUGAUGAUUUUACUGCAGUUAUGAAGAUCCAUUUACAACAAAAAUGGGAAAAUACUCAGACAAAUCUGAUAUUUAUUCUUUUGGUGUUACACUUUUAGAGUUGAUCACCGGAAGAAAACCCAUAUAUAAUGGAAUUGACAUUAUUACUUGGGUAUGACUCUAUUUGCAUUAAAGAUUUUAUUUUAAACAUUCAAUUGAAAAAAAAAUAAAACUUUUGAAUUUAGAUAUUCUAUUUAGAUUUGAGUCUAAUGCAUUUAUUAUCCAUUAAUAAAUAAUUUUUUAAACAUUCAAUUGAAAAAAAUAAAACUUUUGAAUUUAGAUAUUCUAUUUAGAUUUGAGUCUAAUGCAUUUAUUAUCCAUUAAUAAAUAAUUUUUUAAUCAAUGUCUUUUAGGCAAAUCCUUUAAUUGAGAACGCCAUAGAUGGAAGAUAUGUGAAUUUGGUAGAUUCCAAAUUACAAUCCUUCGACCAGGAAGAGAUGCAUAGAAUGAUUUCUUGUAUUAAUUCUUGUCUAAAUCAAUUACCAAACUCUCGUCCAACAAUGGAAAAGGUAAAAUUUAUUCAUACAAUUAACUUAAUUUUAAUAUAUUCAAAACUAUAUAUAUAUAUUACACAUUAUAUAUUUUCAAUUAAUUUUAUGAAAGCAUAUAUCUCGAAAGAUUACAUAGUUAACUUGUAAACAGAUACGAUUAGUUCUUGAAGGAAAAUUACCUCCAGAGAAAUUAUACAAACACAAAUUGCAAUGGAGUAUUACACAUGAAGGUACAUAUUCUUUUAUAUUAAUUUAUUAUAAAUUAUAUGUAUAUUUAUUCGAAAGUUUGAUCUAAUUGAUGUCUAAAUUUUGAUUUAAUUUGUGUCUUAUCUUAAUAUCAAGAAACAAAUGUUGAUUUUCAACUGUAAAAAUAUAAUUUUUUUUUUUAAUUUGAAAUUUAUAACAAAUUAGUUUUUAACCAAAUCUAAUAGCAUAUUAAUGAAAUAUAAUUUUAACAAUGAUGAAACAUUUACCUUAAAAUUCAUUCACAUAAUUUAAUUCUGGUACAUUUCAAAAUUCUCUCUAUUUUACGGACUAUUUUCAAUUAAUUUUGUGGAAACAUUGAGAGAAUACGUAAUCGACUAUUAAAUCUGAUUGGCUAUAAUUCCUUUAUUUAAAAAGAGGAAGGAAUGAUAUGAACUUAUUUCACCUUUAAAAAAAAUGUUUCUGCCUCAGAUUUUGCUUUUUUCCGUUAAUAAUUCUCCUUACAGAGCUGCACUAAUUUACCCUUUUUCUUUUUUUUGGCAAGCAGAUGAGCCUAAGCCAAGUCCCAAGCCUCCAAUCAUUCAAGGAACUAAUAAUAAUAGUACACGAAAUAUUCGACUUGCCAGGCGACGUCGACCAACAGAAGCAACUAGCAAUGGUUCCUCCAACAUCAUUCAAGAAACUUCAUUUGAUGAUGAGAUGAUAUAUGAAAAGCCCGUUUUGGACAGAGGAGAAAACUGUUGCAUUUCAUAAAACCUUAAACCUUUCUCUUUCUUAUUUUUUAUAGACCAGGUCCUCCUUAUCAUUUUAAGCCUCUCUUUUUUUUUUUUUUUAAAACCAUAACUUAUUACAUUUCUACACAUUCUCUCUAUUGGAUAUGACCUAACUUUAAAAAAUAGCCUCUUUUACUUAAGUCCAAUAUCAAAUUUGGAGUAUCAACAAUUCUUUUCAUUGAUAAAUCCGUUGGUGGAUAUAAGACGAAGCAACUAAUUUUAAAUUUUAUGACAUACUUGGAUUGGACCUAACUUUUAAUCGACGUCGGAUGGAGACCCACGAUAGCUUUUUAGAAAAGGAAUUUCGAAACGCAUGACUUUUAAAAGUGUGAUUAGGGUAACAGGCCUGGUCACAAAAUUCAAGUGGUCAAUUUUUCAUUUUAAUUAUUUUUUUAAAUAUUUUUAUAAUUUUGCAUAUUAGAAUUUUUUCUAUUAUAAAUAGGUUUUGGCUAUUUGAGACUCACUUGUCACUUUUUUAAGAAUUUCGAUAAGACUUUUCCACUUUUAACCAUUCGUUUUUUUCAUAUCGUCUUAGUCAAACAAUAUUGAUAAAAAUUACAGACGGAGUUCUUUAUCAAAUAGUACCAUUCAUUUUUUAAAAGUCUGGUUGUUAAGAUUUUACCAACAAAUUUCAAAUUUGUUAGCGCUAUGUACUACUGAAUUUAUCAACAUAGAUUUCCAUAUCUUAUCUAAUUUGGGUUGUAGUCUAGAACUUUUCAUGUUGAGUUAUAAUAUGGUGCAUAAAUAAAGUAUACUUAAAAUUCAAGCCAUAUAAAUAACAUAAUUUAUGUUUAAUAUUUAUUAAAAAUAUAAAUAUAUUUAGAAAGAAAGUGUAGAUGAUAAAAUAAAGUAUGAAAAAUUAAAAAAAUGAGAGAAAGUAGAAAUAGUAGAAAAGUAAAUGGUAUAAAAUGAGAGAAAAUUAUUAAAAAGAAAAAGAAAAAGGAGAAAAAACUAAGAAAAUGAUUAAAAAGAAAAAUUAUGGAGAAUAGAAAAGAAUAAAAGAAGAGGGAAAAGAUAAUUAAAGAAGUGAGGGAAAAGGAAAUAAAUGAUUAGAGAAAAAAAAAUGAAUGAAGAGAAAAUAAUAGAAAAGAAAAAGAUAGAUAAAAAAAUAAUAGAAAAAACUAAAAUUAGAGAAAUUAAUAUGAAUAAGAAUUAUAUAAAAAUAAAAAAAUGAGACAUAAAAAAGGAAGAAAAAUAAUGAAAGAAAAGAAAAUGAAAAAAGUUAUAGAAAGAAAAAUUAUAGAGCAAAAUGAAGAAAAUAAGAACAGAUGAAGAGAAUAAGAGAAAAAAAAGGAUAAUAGAAGAAUGAGAAAUGAUAAAAAAAUAAUAAUAAUAAGAGAAAAAAGAUUAUGAGAUUAGAAAGUUAAAAUAAAAGAAAAUAAUAAAAAAUGAAAAAAAUGAAAAAAAAAAGGAAAAUGAAAAAAUAAAAAAUAAUAUAUGGAUGGAUGACAAAAGGAAAAGGAGAAGUGUUAAUAUUUAUAAAUCAAAUUAUUAAUGGAUUAUAAAUAUUUUAAAGAAAAUGUGUUUUUGAAGAGAAAGAAGGAGAAGCAUGCCUUUUUCCUUUUAUUCAAGAUGUAAUGAGUUUUUACAAGAGUAAGAUAAUCCCGAAACUUAGUUUUAGAGGAGCUUAUAUACUCCUCACGUGGAGCGUAACAGGUGCUCAGAUUGUAAAAGGACAAUUAUGCCCAUAAGACAGCAAAGAAUAAAACAAAACAAUAUAUAUCAACUAAACUAUGAUUAUCUUGCAUUCUCUUCACGCCUCCUGCAAGUUGGAACUGGGAUGGAGACCAGGGGCAACUUGGAACAAAGGUGGUGAUGCUGAUCAGAAGAUAAAGGCUUGGUGAGCAAGUCUGCAAGUUGAGCAGUGGUGGAAACAUGCGAAGGGUGAAUGAAGCCCCGCUGAAGCUGCUCACGGACAAUGUGGCAGUCAAUCGAAAUGUGUUUUGUACGUUCAUGAAACACCGGGUUAGCAGCGAUAUGCAAGGCAGCCUGAUUGUCACAGUGGAGAGGGAUUGGCAGCUGAGUAGGCACCUGCAAGUCUUGAAGAAUAUAAGAAAUCCACAAUAAUUCACAAAUAGUACUUGCCAUAGCACGAUAUUCCGCCUCAGCGAAUGAUUUUGAGACAGUGGGUUGUUUCUUGGUUUUCCAAGAAACCAAUGAGGAUCCAAAAAAAAUGCAGAAUCCAGUGAGAGAUUUGCGCGAAAAGGGGCAGGAGGCCCAAUCAGAAUCACAGUAAGCUGUGAGAGGCAUGGUGGCAGUAACAGGAAAGCAUAGCCCUUGAUGUAUAGUGCCUUUCAAGUAGCGAAGGACAUGCAUGGCAGCCUCCCAAUGAGGCUUGCGGGGUUGAUGCAUGAACUGGCUCAGAUGUUGGACAGCAUAACUGAGGUCAGGCCGUGUAAGAUUAACAUAUAGCAACCUCCCAAUUAGACGUCUGUAAGCAUGGGGUUCAGGAAGAAUAUCUCCUGUGUCCAGAGAGAGAUGCAGCCCUUUAGGCAAGGGAAAGGAGGCUGGUUUGCAUGAGUGCAUACCAGCAUCCCUCAAAAUGUCAGAAAUAUACUUGGUUUGGCUUAAAAGAGUAGCAGUAGAUGAUCUGGCCACUUCUAGGCCAAGAAAGUAUUUCAGAAACCCCAAGUCUUUAAUGGUGAACUUGGAAUGUAAAGCAUUUUUAACCUCAGUCAUAGCAACAGUAGAGGUACCAGUAAGAAGAAUGUCAUCCACAUAUAUUAACAAGGCCAAAAAAUAGUCAGUAGUGCAUUUAACAAACAGGCAGUAGUCAUGGGCAGAUUGGGUGAAACCUAGUGUCUGUAAAAAACUUGUAAACUCAAGAUUCUAUUGCCGAGAAGCCUGUUUAAGUCCAUAUAAGGACUUCUGGAGGAGGCAGACUUGCCCGGGCAGAGCUUUAUCAUAACCCUGUGGUGGAAGCAUAUAGACUUCCUCAUCUAAGGUGCCAUGUAAGAAAGCAUUGUUUAUGUCAAGUUGAAACACAGGCCAUUGUUUAUGAGUAGCAAGGGCUAUGAGAAUACGAACUGUAGCCAAUUUGGCAACAGGAGAAAACCGAUCUUUAUAAUCAAGACCUUCAAUUUGAUUGUAACCCUUGGCGACCAACCGGGCUUUGAAUCUAUCAAUGUCACCAUUUGGUUUACAUUUGACCUUAUAGACCCAUUUACAACCUAUGGCUUUCUUGCCUUUAGGAAGGGUUGUAAGGAUCCAGGUGUUAUUCUGUUCGAGGGCAUGCAAUUCAUGUUGCAUUGCAUUAACCCAAUCAGUAUUUUGCGAUGCCUGAAUGUAGGUGGCAGGUUCUGGAAUGUGAGAAAUGUUCAGGACAUAUGUUUGAUAUGAAGGUGAAAGGUGAAUGGUGGAAAUGGGAGGAUGGACAGUGGUGAUUGCCGUGGCAACAAAGUCAUCCAGCCACGCUGGUGGUUUAAUGGCUCUGGAAGACCUUCGGAGGCCAGAGAGAUCAGGAGAAGGCUGAGAAGGUGAGGAUAUAGAUGUGAUAGGCUCUGAAUCAGGUAUGGGAAUAGGCAGCACCACAGGGGGUUGCAGAGAUUGUGUGCUAAAGGGAAAAAUGUGUUCAUAGAACACAACAUCACGGCUAACAAAGAUAGCACCAGUAGCUAGAUCAUAGAGUUUGUAAGCUUUGUGAUUACUGGCAUAACUAAUAAAGGCUGCCUUAAUGGACUUGGUACCAAAUUUGUCUUUGUGAGUGUUUGUUUUGGUGGCAAAACAAAGGCAUCCAAAUUUUUUUAGAUGGAAAUAAUCAGGGGCUUUCCCAUAGAGACGCUCAUAAGGGCUCUGCCAACCAAAUUGGGCCAUAGGAAGUCUGUUUAUUAGAUAGGUGGCAGUAAGGACACAUUCAGACCAAAAAGUGUGUGGGACAUGAGAGUGUAUUUUGAGAGCUCUAGCCAUGUCUAAAAGAUGUCUGUGCUUUCUCUCAACCACUCCAUUUUGUUGAGGAGUGUGAGGACAAGAUCUUUGAUGUAUUAUGCCCUUUUGAUUUAAUAGUCUAGAGCAAUCAUUACUAAGAAAUUCACAUCCGUUAUUUGUCCUUAUUGUCUUGACAGAGGCAUUGAAGUGAGUUUGCACCAUAUUCAGAAAUGUAGAUAAGAUAUGAACAGUUUGACUUUUAAGGCGCAUUAAGAAGGUCCAGGUGGCCCUGGUAUUGUCAUCAACUAAAGUGAGAAAGUAUUUUGCUCCUGUGACACUUUCUAUGUUAUAAGGGCCCCAAAUAUCUAUGUGGAGGAGAUCAAAAGGUUCCUUAGCAACAGUGGUACUAAGGGAAAAGGGUAACCUGGCCUGCUUGGCUUGGGAACAGGUUUGGCACUGUAAAGGAGUACCCUUAGUGUGUUUAAGCACAUCAAUAUGUUUGAGUUUCCCAAGGGAUGCAUGCCCUAGUCUAUCAUGCCAAUCAACAAUAUUACUAGCAUACAUACAAGAUUCAGUUCGAGAAGAUUGGCUUUCUUUAUUUAUAGAAUGUGUAGAAAGCAUGGUAUUUANNNNNNNNNNNNNNNNNNNNNNNNNNNNNNNNNNNNNNNNNNNNNNNNNNNNNNNNNNNNNNNNNNNNNNNNNNNNNNNNNNNNNNNNNNNNNNNNNNNNNNNNNNNNNNNNNNNNNNNNNNNNNNNNNNNNNNNNNNNNNNNNNNNNNNNNNNNNNNNNNNNNNNNNNNNNNNNNNNNNNNNNNNNNNNNNNNNNNNNNNNNNNNNNNNNNNNNNNNNNNNNNNNNNNNNNNNNNNNNNNNNNNNNNNNNNNNNNNNNNNNNNNNNNNNNNNNNNNNNNNNNNNNNNNNNNNNNNNNNNNNNNNNNNNNNNNNNNNNNNNNNNNNNNNNNNNNNNNNNNNNNNNNNNNNNNNNNNNNNNNNNNNNNNNNNNNNNNNNNNNNNNNNNNNNNNNNNNNNNNNNNNNNNNNNNNNNNNNNNNNNNNNNNNNNNNNNNNNNNNNNNNNNNNNNNNNNNNNNNNNNNNNNNNNNNNNNNNNNNNNNNNNNNNNNNNNNNNNNNNNNNNNNNNNNNNNNNNNNNNNNNNNNNNNNNNNNNNNNNNNNNNNNNNNNNNNNNNNNNNNNNNNNNNNNNNNNNNNNNNNNNNNNNNNNNNNNNNNNNNNNNNNNNNNNNNNNNNNNNNNNNNNNNNNNNNNNNNNNNNNNNNNNNNNNNNNNNNNNNNNNNNNNNNNNNNNNNNNNNNNNNNNNNNNNNNNNNNNNNNNNNNNNNNNNNNNNNNNNNNNNNNNNNNNNNNNNNNNNNNNNNNNNNNNNNNNNNNNNNNNNNNNNNNNNNNNNNNNNNNNNNNNNNNNNNNNNNNNNNNNNNNNNNNNNNNNNNNNNNNNNNNNNNNNNNNNNNNNNNNNNNNNNNNNNNNNNNNNNNNNNNNNNNNNNNNNNNNNNNNNNNNNNNNNNNNNNNNNNNNNNNNNNNNNNNNNNNNNNNNNNNNNNNNNNNNNNNNNNNNNNNNNNNNNNNNNNNNNNNNNNNNNNNNNNNNNNNNNNNNNNNNNNNNNNNNNNNNNNNNNNNNNNNNNNNNNNNNNNNNNNNNNNNNNNNNNNNNNNNNNNNNNNNNNNNNNNNNNNNNNNNNNNNACAGGUGCAUGGAGGAAGGGUCUCCAUUGAUCCCAAUUCAUCCCAAAACCCUUUCAAUUUAGUGAAAUAGACAGAUGCAGAGGCAUUGUCUUGAGAUAUCAAGGAUAUUUUCCUACGCAACUCAUAGAUCAUGGUUCCAUUACACUCACCGAAUCUUUCGGUAAUUUCAAGCCAGAGAUCCCUAGGUGAGGCUGUGUAAAUGAAGCCAUCGACUAACUCUCUGGAUAUAGAAUUUAGAAUCCAGGAUGUGACCAUAAAGUCACAUCGCUUCCAUUGUUCAUAGGAAUCAGAUCCUUUAUCAGGUAUUGUAACGGUGCCUUCUAUAAAUUCCAGUUUCUGUUUGGCUCCUAGGGCUAUCCUAAUGGCUCUACACCAAGACCUAAAAUUUGUCCCUAUCAGAGGAGCAUAUACUAAAACCAUACCUGGAUGGUCCGAAGACUGGAGAGUCAGAGGAUCUCCAAGAUUCUGAGUUCCGAUCUGGAUUUUGUCCUUCGCCUCCGUGAUUUUGCCUUCUUUACUGGUAUUCCCUCGUUCUGCCAUGAUCGACAAGAUUUGUCCGUUUUAGCCACAGAUCGUGGUGUAAGUUUGUAGAUCUGACUGAGUUGAGGCCGUCUUGAAGGAAAACGGAAAGAUUAACGAGAUCUGCUUGUCAUGCAAGCCAGAUUCGGUGUAGGACUGGUGAUGGCGUUCACCUGGAGUGUAAGCCGGCUCUUUUCGGUAAAGGUUGUUUUAAAAAAGGAAUGGCGAGGAUGAACGGAAGAGACAGGGAAAGGUGCAAACCCUAAUCCGCUCUGAUACCAUGAAGAGAAAGAAGGAGAAGCAUGCCUUUAUCCUUUUAUUCAAGAUGUAAUGAGUUUUUACAAGAGUAAAAUAAUCCCGAAACUUAGUUUUAGAGGAGCUUAUAUACUCCUCACGUGGAGCGUAACAGGUGCUCAGAUUGUAAAAGGACAAUUAUGCCCAUAAGACAGCAAAGAAUAAAACAAAACAAUAUAUAUCAACUAAACUAUUAUUAUCUUGCAUUCUCUUCAUUAUCCUUUAAAAAUUAUUAAAAUAUUUAAAAUUUAUUAAUAAAUUUAUUGGUGAAUGAAAAAUAGUAGAUUUUAAAAAAGUAACACUCAAAUUUUAAGUAAGAUUAUAUUUAAAAUUCAUUAAUAAAUUUAUUGAUGAAUGAAAAACAGUACAUUUUAAAAAAGUAAUACUCAAAUUUUAAGAUUUAAUUUUAAAUUUAUUGAAAGAUAAAAAUACCUUUUCUAUUUAUUAAUUUAAUAAUAAGAAUUAUUAAUAAAUUUUAAAAUUUAUUGGUAAUCUAUUUACAAACUAUUAAUAGAUUUAAAUUUUAUUAAUAAUUUUAAUAGUUUGUUCGGAAGUAUCAAUAAAUUACUAACUGAUUAUUAAAUUUCUACCACAAUAAUUUUAUAAAUUUAUAAAAUUAUCAACAAAUUCUAAAAUCCAUUAUUUAAACUUUUACACAAAAAUAUGACGGAACUUAUUAUUGAAUUCCAAUAACUUAUUAGUAUAUUUCUACGCAUUCUCUUUAUUAAAUAAUGACCAAGCUAUUUAAAAAUGACCCUCAUAUUAUUGGCUAAUUAAUAAUUCAACCAUCUUCUGUGACAGCCUGCUGCUGUGUGGAGAUUACUUGCUCAAGUUUUCUUUUUUUAUUCAAUUAAUUUCAGUUUAAAUAAUUGAACUCAAAAAUAUUGUUGACUUUGGAAAAAGGGUUAAUAGUAUUUAAAUUCAAAGACCAUGAUUGCUCAUUGAUGGAGCCACUAGCGUAAGUAUAUGCAUUCAUAUCUCUUAGGUAGAAAACAAGCCAACCUUCUCUAUUGCCUUGAUAAACAAUAAACAACUUGUUAUUGUCAUUUGACUUUUUAUAUUUUAAUUUUUUUUAUAAAUAUAUGUUGCCCAUAUCACAAAAUUAAUUGGUCAAUUAUUGAAUUCGAAUAUCUCUUUAACCCUUAAGUUGGAUUUUAAUAUAAAGUAUAAAGAAAUCUUAAUUAUAUAAUUUACUAAUUGAAUAAUUGAGGUUUUUUCUUGAAAAAAUUGUAAGUUAGAAGUAAAACGCAUUUUAAAAGUCAUUCAUGAAUAUGCACACAAAAAUAUAUCAGUAGUGAGUGCCAUUUUAAAAAUUUAAUAAUUUGAAAAAAAAAAUAAAAAAAAAGGAAAUUAAGAGAGAUAAACGAAGUGGAAAAGCAAAAUUGAUAAACUUCACUUACAUCUUAAUUUUCAUCUAUUUAUAUUAUUUUUAAAUUGAAUUUUCUUUUUGAUUUUCCACUGAAAUAAAAGGAAUUAUAAAGUAUAUACCAAAACCUCAAUCUCAAUGAAGUAAUUAGGUUUAUUAAAAUUAUUUACUUUCUUAAAAGAUGAAAGGGUGGAAAGGAUAAGAAUAGCAUUUUUUAAUUAUAUAGUUAAAUUCAUUAAUCUUGAUUUUUAUAUAAAAAACUUAUUUGAUCACUUGAUUGAUGGAAAGAUAAAUAUUAAAUUACUAUUUUUUUAAAAAAAAACAUAACAUUAUCAAUAAAUAUAUAUAAUAGAUACACAUUUUUAUUAUUAUUCAUAGCUUAUCUAAUUCGUAAGAGUGACACUCAAGUAUUAAAGUCAAUUGUUAUUCUAAAAAAAAGUCAAUUAUUUAGAUGUCACAAUGAAAAUAUGACUAUUAUUUUUUGUUUAGAAUAGGAAACAACUCAAUAACAAUUAAAUUUAUAUCCAUUACACAAAAUGUCAUUGACUGGAGCUGGAGGCCACAUGCUGCACAUUCUACGUUCAACGUCAACGUUAUAAUUCUUUUUUUAAGAAAAACGAAGGUCUGAACGCUAAUGUUACCAGCUGUCCUUCCUUUAUCUUUCCUACAUCUCCUUCUCUAUCUCUGAUCUUUCACAUUCACACUUUAAUAUAAGAACUGUAUAUAUAUAUACUUGCAAGAAACCAUUGGUUGUGGUUGAAUAAGUCUGCAACUUCUGAUGGCUUCACCGUGGGGAGAUCGCCGGAAUGAAACUAGAGGUAUUAGUCGUUCUAGCUAAAACUGUUUAAUGAGUUCAAAUAGUAAUAUUGUUAUGGAACUUUCAUUUCAUAUAACUUAUUGAAGCAUGUUGUUUAUUGUAUGGUCACUAAGUACAGAUCCGAAUGAAUCUGACUCAUCUCCUGAGAAGAGUCCAAGUAAUGCAUAUGCAUCUGAUAAUUCUAAGGUUAUUGGGCCAAAAUCAUAUUCAUACAGUGAUUUAGCAAAGGCAACUCGUCAUUUUUCGCUGAAUUACCAAAUUGGUCAAGGUGGUUUUGGUCAAGUCUUUAAGACAUCCUUAAACGGUGAGACCUAUGCUAUCAAGAAACUCAAUAAUUUUGUAGAUGAACAGGCCGAAGGAAAGUUGGAGAACGAGAUUGAGGUCGUCAAUAGAGUCAGUCACAAAAAUCUUGUUAAGCUAGUUGGUUACUGCAUUGAUGGAGCCAACAGAUUGCUUAUUUUAGAGUAUUUUUCUAAUGGGUCCUUGAGAUCUAAAUUACAUGGUGAGUCCAAACCUUUAUUUUAUGUUCAUAUAACUAAUUAAUAUAACAUAAUUAAUCUUAUAAAUUACAAAUGGUACUGUAGGAAAGGAAAAUGUUUUGGACUGGAAAAAGAGAAUGAAAAUCGCCAUAGGUUCUGCAAAAGGAUUGCAAUAUUUACAUGAAGAUUGUGAGUAUAUAUUAAUAGCAUAGUAGGCUUUUUUGAGAAUGAAUUUUAUUUUUUUUUCCUUAUUUGUGCUAAUAAUUUAUUUCCUCUGAAAGUUUUGUUCUCCCUUUUUAUAUAUAUGUUUUUUUUUUUUUUUUCAGGUGAACCUAAAAUCAUACAUUUAGAUGUUAAGGCAGAUAAUAUUCUUCUUGAUGAUAACUUUGAAUCUAAGGUAUGAUAUAUAAUUUGAUAAUAAAUAAAAAUUUUAUUCUUAUCAUCAUAUAACUAUAGUGGAACCUUUACCAUUGAAUAUCAAAAUUUUUAUUUUUAAAUAAUAUUGAAAAAUAAUGUGAACCCAUUAAUUUGAUUGCAUAGGUUUCAGAUUUUGGACUUUCCCUAUUUUUUUCGGAUGCUGCUUCUCAUGUCUCAAGAUCAUCAAUUAGAGGAACCCAAAUGUAUGUAAGAUACAAAUUUCUUUCUAUCAUUUAAUAACUGUCUAUUGUUUUCAGUGCCAUCAUGAUAUCUACUCUUAGAGCUCCUUAAUUUAAAGAUAUUAUUUUCUUACAGGAAAUCUUAAUAUGAACAUUAAUUGUGAAGAUAUUAAGUUUAAUUGUAUGAUUGAAUUGCAGCUAUGCAGAUCCAUUGACAACACAAUUGGGAAAACACUCUGAUAAAUCUGAUGUUUAUUCUUUUGGUGUUACACUUUUGGAGUUGAUUAGUGGGAGAAAACCCAUAAAUCAAAACGGCGUCAAUAUUAUUACUUGGGUAUGAAUCUAUUAAAUUGUAACAAUUUAAUAUAAAAUUGUGUUUUUAGCUUUUGAUAUAAGAAUUGAUCUUUAAAAGAAUGGAUUCAACAAAUCACAAUUGGAUGUAUGGAGAUAAAAUAAUGAAACUUUCUUUCUAGCAACAUUUAAAAAAAACAAAGAAGACAAAAACAUAUGCUAUAUGUUAAAUAUAAAUUUACAGGCAACAUGUAUUUAUAUCCAUUAAUAAAUAAUUUUUAAUGGAUUUUUUGCAGGCAAACUCUUUAAUUGAAAAAGUUUUGAAAGGUGAAUAUGCGGAUUUUGUAGAUUCCAGGUUACAAUCCUUUGACCAUGAAGAAAUGCAUCGAAUUAUUUUUUGUGUUAAUGCUUGCAUAAAUCUACCUCCAAAAUUCCGUCCAUCAAUGAAAAGGGUA